GGAUGGGAAAGUCUACCGUAGUUUAUAUUGGCACUGCACACUGGGGUGUUUAAGUGAAAGGAAGAUGGCAGAAAUCAGCAAGAAGAUCCAAGCUGGCAAAGCUCAAGAUAACGACAGAGAAAAUGUUGAUUAACACUGAAACAGCUUGCAACUGCCAUCGACAAAUGCUGUAAGGAGAUGCUCACAGGCAGCAAGGAUUCAUAUCCCAAAGUUGCAUCAACCAUUUGACCUCUGAGCCUGGAGCCAGAGAUGGGGAAACAUCUCUUAGAAGAACAAAGGACUGUUCCUUGUAACUGAUUCCUCGGAUUUCAAGCCCUUUUGCGCCAUGCGGGCCUUCCCCACCACUCCAAGUGUCUGUGUGCAAAUCACUUUGGGGGCUCUGUGAGUGCUGAUGCUUUUAUAGAAAUGAUGGCAUCAACAUUUUCUUUCCUCUGAUACUUUAAUAUUUUGCACGUGCGUUAAUUAAAAAAAUCUUAACGAAACCACACAUACAAUCACCUUGAUUGCUUUGUUGCAGUGCUUAAUCAGCCCACACGCAUACACAAUUAUCCACUGCCAAGGUAAGAGAUGCAAAUGA
Crotalus tigris (Tiger rattlesnake) is the source of this 577-nucleotide long non-coding RNA. RefSeq lists it as uncharacterized. The record is from RefSeq and is a predicted model, not a curated record. Lineage: Eukaryota; Metazoa; Chordata; Lepidosauria; Squamata; Viperidae. The transcript is spliced from 4 exons.